UACAGAGGGUGCAAGCGUUGUUCGGAAUUAUUGGGCGUAAAGCGCGUGUAGGCGGCUUUGCAAGUCGGGUGUGAAAGCCCUCAGCUCAACUGAGGAAGUGCGCCCGAAACUGCAGAGCUUGAGUACCGGAGAGGAUGGCGGAAUUCCCGAAGUAGAGGUGAAAUUCGUAGAUAUCGGGAGGAACACCGGUGGCGAAGGCGGCCAUCUGGACGGAUACUGACGCUGAGGUGCGAAAGCGUGGGGAGCAAACAGG
This 253-nucleotide ribosomal RNA is filed under the name uncultured bacterium. Its description in RNAcentral is "partial 16S ribosomal RNA". It matches the Rfam family "Bacterial small subunit ribosomal RNA", at positions 524 to 776 of the family's 1533-position model. The record is from RNAcentral.